This 2298-nucleotide long non-coding RNA is filed under the name Solanum lycopersicum (tomato). Its description in RNAcentral is "long non-coding RNA (SLYC_LNC001341)". Lineage: Eukaryota; Viridiplantae; Streptophyta; Magnoliopsida; Solanales; Solanaceae. The record is from RNAcentral.
AACAUAUACCAAUAGUUCAACUAUAAAUAAUAUCAAUAAUGCGGAAGCUCCAAAAGAUACUAAGCAACCAAUUUAAAUAAGUUUCUAAGGUUUAAUACUUAUCAUCCCAAAAUCUGAUAGUCAUCACAUCAAGGACAUCUAAUCUCCAAUACUAAGCCUAAGAAUAUCGAAUACACUAAAAUAAAGAAUAAAAUGGUAUGUGUCCGAAAGCAUAGGACAUCAUGUUAUGACCGAGAGAAUCCAACACGAGCUAGAAAUAAUAGCUCACCCUGAACUCUGAUGUGCUGGAGACUGGCUAGAGCUGAGGGCGAGUCGAAGUCGAUGGUACACUUGCUGCACUCCACAAAAUAACAAAGAAGAAAAUACAAGUAGAGGUCAGUACAAUGAACACGUACUGAGUAGGUAUCAUCGGCCAACUCAAAAUAGAAAUCAAUAUAUAUUGAAUAAUAAUAUAAAAUCAACUACAAUACUUAACAGGUGGCAAGCAACAAACACAUGAACCAUUGACAACAACACCAUAACAGGUACACCAUCAAUCAGCAAAUCAAACACACCUAUGAGGACUCAUGCCUCCACACCAUACUCAUUUGAAAGAUAGGUUCUUUGAGGUUGAGUAUAUUAAGUCACUUCAAGAUUCCCUUCCUUUAAUGUUAUUAUGUCGGAACGUGACACUCCGAUCCCAUAUACCGUGUCGAAACGUGACACUCCGAUCCCUUAAUAUCGUGUCGGAACGUGACACUCCGAUCCAAUUAUCUUAUAAUUUUAUUUCAUCAAGCCUUCUUUAUUCAAGGCGUACUUUUAAUAGAGAGGGUUCAAGAUUAGAAAUUCAACAGUCUCAUAAUUUUAGGCCAACCACAAACCACACAAUCAAAACAUACAGCCACACAAUCAAGUAAAUAGGAGACUUUACAAUAUCACUCAAUACAUAUCAAUCGCUAUUUAGAGUUUAUCUAUCAAAUAAAAUUAAACCAUAACCUACCUCCACCGAAGAACCGAAGUCAAGCAACUACUUCUCCAAUGCCUUUCCUUUUCUUAUUGCCUCCGAACCCUUCCAAUCUAUCAAGUAUAUAAUAUACAUAAGGUGUAAGUUAACAAGACCAUAAACACUCCGAUUAUUCUGUGUCUAGCCUAUACUCAUCAAUUCACCUAAUUCUAUAAUCAAUUUCCUAAAUUUUAAACUUAAGGUAAGUUCUAUUUCCUCUCAUUAGCAUAACUUUAAUGUAAUUCAUAUAAUAUACUACACCUUAUAUUUAAUUACCUAUCUCAAUAUAUCAAAAUAUAAUCUAUAAUAUAAUAACAACAUUAAAAUUUUUAAAAGUUAAAGCCACUGGUUAAGGUACCAGUGGCAGCGAACACUUCACAAUAUACCCACCCCUUUAUAUUCCAAUUCUUAAAAAUGAAAUUCAGUUAUUUUCUUGCAGCUUCAUCGAUCCAGCUUCUAACACAAGGCGAACCUACCUUGGAUUAUUUUCCAUUAACUUCACGUGAGAACAGGGAGGAAAUAUGUACCUACGAAUUCGCAUGAAAAUUGUAUCAAUUUUUUCUUUGUUCUAAAAUUUAAAUUGGCAGAACAUUUAAACCUUUACAUUGUCAUACCUUACACCUUCUUUUAAUUAAUCAUCACAAUAUAACAAUUUUUCCAAUCCCAACAUGCUGCUCCCUCUUCUCUAUUUUAUUAUUUUAUUUUACAAAACAAACAUUUCCAUCCAAUUUUAUAAUAUUAAUCAAAAGAGACCAAUAAUUAAUCUACAGAAAUCUAACUCCUUAGAUUCAAAACAGAACUCCCGUUCUUCCCUUUCUAAUUAACAAUAUAUUAGGCUGCUAGUAAUAUUACUCUCUAUUAGAAAUCACCAUUACAUGUAACAAAAGAAUAAAAAUUUCAAGAACCUUAAUUCAUAACACACUAAAGUCAAUUUUCUUUUAUGUAACAUGUAACUGCUGCUAAAAUGUUGCAGGCAGCAACAUCAUACAGCCGCCACGUAGUCACAAUUUGCCCAUAUCCCCCUUUUCCCAUUUAAUUAGUAUAAUAUUCUAUCAUGGCUAAAAUAUCAACAUAUAUCCCUAUCAUCAAUACAUAUGUAUAGCGCAAUAUUAAGCUGGUCGAGUUUUACCUGAAGGCCCACUUUACGAUCUUCUUCGCAAUCCUUCUGCCCCUCUCUGAUUUUCUUACUUUCCUCCAGAGAUAAAUUAUACCUAAUUUCUAUAUAGGACUAAUUAUAUAAAUAAUGAAAAGUGUCCAUCACUAAUUGUUAAGUUAUUUUCUUUAACUAUCAAUUAAAUAAAUUAUUAAAAUUAUCC